UGGGAAAUGACCUGGUGAGAGACUGCCAAC
Molecule: non-coding RNA, 30 nt
Filed under: Mus musculus (house mouse)
Lineage: Eukaryota; Metazoa; Chordata; Mammalia; Rodentia; Muridae
Source: RNAcentral